Arachis ipaensis is the source of this 1436-nucleotide non-coding RNA. The record is from RefSeq and is a predicted model, not a curated record. Lineage: Eukaryota; Viridiplantae; Streptophyta; Magnoliopsida; Fabales; Fabaceae.
AUUUGUUUGGAUGAUAAUUAUUGAGUUGAAUGAUAAAGAUACUAUGGGAAAAAGGUAGUUAUAAAGUAGAUAUGAAGGAUAAAUAACUCAAGGUGAUCUAUUUGCCUUCUAUUUUGCUACAAGUACCUAUGUCUGUUAGACUUUUACUUUCAAAAUUAGGGUGGGAAGGAAAAGAUUAAAACUUACAUGGGAUCAUGGAAUUGAUGCAGGGCGGCAAUAUUUUCUCCAGUUCCUUUAUACAAUCUGCUAAGGUUGGAGUCAAAGAUGAUCUGCGACUGGAAGGCAUCCUUGAUGCAUUGGCAUGGGGAAACUAUCCACCCAUUGGGGCAAGCGGACAGCUUGAGAUUAUAUAUCCACUGAAGAUAAUGUUAUCUGGUUGGUGAAUACAAUUCUAUUUUCAAGGAACAAAAUUUACAAGGUAGUUUUUUAGUAUUUCAAUGUACAAGUAUUUUUAACUCUAAAAUAAGUAUCAUUUUUUUCUUUUAAAAAUAAGGAUCGACACAUCAGUGAGAUUUACCAUUUUAUAAAACAUUAUUUUUCUUGUAUAUAAAAUAAAAAGUGAUUAUUGUAUAGAUAUUGUAUAGAUUUUUUAUAAAGAUGGCAGAUUCUGAAUCACAUUUUAUAUAAUUUCAAAUGGUUGGUAGGAUUUUUUAAAUUAAUUAAUAAUUACUCAUUUUUUAAUGUUUGAUAAUCUUGUCCCAUCGGUAAAGGCAUGCCAUCUGUUGUUGAUAUAAAUCAAUAUCAUUACUAAUGCUUUUUGGAGGUGAAAGUUGUCUUCUUAAGUAUAUAACAAACUCAUUUCUCAAUUGAUGAUUAUAUGUUCAAUAAGCAAGUGACUGAGUGAGAUCUGUCUUGGAUAAGUAAUUCAAUUGCAAAUUCGAUUAUAUGUUCAGCAAUCUUUCAAACAUGGUGAUUUUCAUUUUGAUUUAAUAUGAGCACCUCCUUAUUGUUUCCAUAGAAGAUAAAAGUAUGUCCUAUCAUAGAAUUCACCAACUAGUUUUAUGGUUAUUAUAUCCAAUAGGAUGAUGACAUCUUAUGAUAUUUAUAAGGGAAGCACUAAUCAGAUUUUUAAAGAUAUUUAUGGAUUUCUCAGCACCAGCGAAGUCAUUGCAUCAGCUUCCCAAGCUUAAAAAGAAAAUAGUUUUAAGGCCAUAAUGAAAAAGGCUAGCUGGUUUGCCAUUAAAAAGAACUGAGAAGUAAUCCUUCUUUCAAAUGAAGCAUUGUGCCUAUUACAUUUUGAGUUUACUAACUGAGACAACGUAAUUUGAAACUUAAUCCAUGUUUGAAUACCCUAGACCAUGGAUCUUGUCUUGUUUAUGGUAACAAAAGAAAACUUGGUUACACUAAGAGACAUCAAUAUUGUGUCUGCAAAUUAUGAAUUUUAUAACAUUCAAAACUUAUUUAAGCUUAAAUAUUUUAUAUUUGUUUCAAAACUU